Molecule: ribosomal RNA, 428 nt
Filed under: uncultured bacterium
Lineage: Bacteria
Description: bacterial SSU rRNA
Rfam family: Bacterial small subunit ribosomal RNA
Source: RNAcentral
UAGGGAAUCUUCGGCAAUGGGGGGAACCCUGACCGAGCAACGCCGCGUGAGUGAAGAAGGAUUUCGGUUCGUAAAGCUCUGUUGUCAGCCACGAAUGUAUGUGAGAGUGGAAAGUUCACAUAGUGACGGUAACUGACCAGAAAGGGACGGCUAACUACGUGCCAGCAGCCGCGGUAAUACGUAGGUCCCGAGCGUUGUCCGGAUUUAUUGGGCGUAAAGCGAGCGCAGGCGGUUUGAUAAGUCUGAAGUAAAAGGCAUUGGCUCAACCAAUGUAUGCUUUGGAAACUGUUAGACUUGAGUGCAGAAGGGGAGAGUGGAAUUCCAUGUGUAGCGGUGAAAUGCGUAGAUAUAUGGAGGAACACCGGUGGCGAAAGCGGCUCUCUGGUCUGUAACUGACGCUGAGGCUCGAAAGCGUGGGUAGCGAACAG